Molecule: unclassified non-coding RNA, 404 nt
Filed under: soil metagenome
Description: partial contains 5.8S ribosomal RNA, internal transcribed spacer 2, and large subunit ribosomal RNA
Rfam family: 5.8S ribosomal RNA (bases 1-121)
Source: RNAcentral
GAUGAAGAACGCAGCGAAAUGCGAUAAGUAAUGUGAAUUGCAGAAUUCAGUGAAUCAUCGAAUCUUUGAACGCACCUUGCGCCCUUUGGCUAUUCCGAAGGGCAUGCCUGUUUGAGUAUCAUGAACACCUCAACUCUCAUGGUUUGCCAUGAUGAGCUUGGACUUUGGGGGUAUUGCCGGCCUAUGGGUCGGCUCCUCUCAAAUUAAUCAGCUUGCCAGUGUUUGGUGGCAUCACAGGUGUGAUAACUAUCUACGCUUGUGGUUUUCCAUCAGGUAACCUUCAGUGAUGGAGGUUCGCUGGGGCUCAUAAAUGUCUCUCCUCAGUGAGGACAGCUUUUUUGAACGUUUGAUCUCAAAUCAGGUAGGACUACCCGCUGAACUUAAGCAUAUCAAUAAGCGGAGGA